UUGAUUUUAGCUAGUAAUGGAUGUUGGGGUGCGGUGAUGAGCUUUGGAGGUGGUGAAUAGGUGAAAAUCACCUGAAAAUUUGAUGGGUAUCGUCAGAAAACUCCAUUGGUUCGAAACCGGGUUGUUGUAGGUGUACGGGUUGGAUUGGUUGGGUGCUCUGCACCUCUAUCCUUUCCCUUCCUUUCCUUCUCUAUGGUUGGUCACUCUCUCUUUCUCUUCUUUCUGAUUGGGUGUCUCGCCCCUCCUUUCCCUUUUUUAUUUUUCAUCUCCACCGGCAAUCCUUUCUUCCUUUUAAUCUGGGCCACACACGUGGCUUCCAGAUUUUGCUCCAACAUUCUGGAGCUUUCUUGAAAUUAAUUAAUUUAUUAAAAUGCCCCCAAAUUUAAACGUUAAUAACUUAUUUGUUAUAACUCCAAAUUGCGUUCCGUUUGCACCUAUGUGUCUAUAGCGAUGAGUACUACAAGAAUACGCCAAGAAAACAAACCUUAUGUGACAUAACGCUGUAGUCAACAAAAGUCAACACUUUGCCUCGAAGGGCAUUUUAGUAAAUUCACUUAUUAAAAUUAUAUAAACCGUAAAAUUGGAAACAGGUCAUUACAAUGUUGAUGCUUAAUAGAGAGUGAGUCCACUGAACAUGAUCAAUAAGGAGUUCUCAUACUCAUGUCCCAUGAGAACUCAUGGUUGGGAUAAUGUAAACUAAUCCUUUGACCUGAGACACUAUAGUUGUCUUGUGGUUAGGCCAUUAGUCUUUUGUUGUGUUAAAGGCACUCCAUUUGAGAGUUUCCAUUGCAUAGUUAGGGCUAAGCUACUUAAUUACGGGAUAUGUGAAUGUGCAACAGAGGAUCACUAACCUUCAAACUGUUGAGGGAGAAAAUUCUAUGAUAUGAUUAAGAAUCUGUUGCUAGAGUAUGAAUGAGAUUUAAGAAGUUGUUCCAAAUCACAUUCAAGGUAUAAGUAAGAGAAUCAAGUUGGAUAAUAGACAUGAACAAACUACCAAACCAAAAAAUGUGAUCAAGAGCAUUGGUCUAGAGAAAGGCCGUAUUGCAUUGUAAUCCCAAACCGAAUAGGUUCUCCAACCUCUUCUGAUUAGCUUUGGUAGCCAUGACAUGCUGUUAGGUGUCAUUCAUGGUUUAUGAAGGCUUUGAAGAUGAAUAAUCACCAAAGGGAUAAUUGAAAGUUUCAAUCCAUAAUCCAUUAGUAAGAGUUAUAAUCGCCCACUGCAUCAUUACAAGGACAUAAUGGACCGCACAUCAUGUAAGGUAAUGAUUGAAUGAUAUGACGAAGAUGAGUAAGGACAAUUAAAUAAUUUAACUGUAUAAGGCAAGGAUUAAAAAAUAUGUUAGUUUCGGGUUUCAGGGUCCAAAAUGAGUUUUGGUCCACAAUGCCUAUUGAGUUUAAGUUGUAUGACAACUAAAACAAAAUGCAAAUUAACAUAAAAAAAAAAAGGAAUCCAAAACCGGCCACAUGAGAGGGAGGUCCGUUUUGUCCCUUAAAGGAAGUGCCUAUUAUAUUUCACUUAAGUCACUUAAAGGAAGUGCCUAUGUAAAAGGCAUUAUAACCUCAUCCCUCAUUAGGGUUUUGUAAGAGACAAAGAAAGAAAAACCCAAAGCUAUCUCCUUCUUCUAGGAGGCCAACUACCAUGGGAGUUUUAGCUAGCAAUCUUUGCUUCCAUGGUCACUCAUCUCCUUUCUCUACCAUCCUUGGUGUUGAAACUUAGAGGCUCUCCACUUUGGGGGAUUUUGGAGAAUCCUUUUCUUCCAUCCAAUCUAAGAUGACAUGGAGCCAAGAAACAAAGUUCCUCCAUCCAUAUCCAUGGAGACAAAGGAAUGAAAGCCUUCUCAAGGUUGAUUAGCCUUUGCUAAGCAAAGAAGUAUAGUUGUAUUCCCUUCAAGUGCAAAUAUAAGGAUGGUAUAAUGGCACAAGUAAGGGUGUCGAACCACAGAGAUUGAUUAGACCUAUACAAAUUACUAGCUUUAUGUGAACCCUAACUAAACAAUGAAAAUGAAAACUGAAUUUAGAUUUUUCAAUUGAAAACUAAAAUAACUUUAAAAUGCAACAAAGAUAAAGAUAAAUGAUAGGUUGAUUCAGAAAUAAUGGGAAUGGAACUAGGGAUAUCGAUUUCACCAUUACAAGCCAGUUCCAAAUUAAGUCAAAAUGCAUUCAACUCUCCAAUCUGCAACUAGGGUUCAUUUUACUCAUUUAUGAUCAUCCAUUUAAUGUGUGGUUGUGAUCAAGUACUCCUAAUCUGAAACCUAGUUGUGAUGUUCAACUUAGAUUACCAAAUAAGAAUCCAUUAAGAACAAGAAAACUUUAAAGAACCAAAAAAAUCACAUGGAAGGAUGUAUGCGUAGUAGUUUCUUCAUUCAUUCACAUAUCCACCAUGAUUAAGCAUGAUGUGUACUAUAACCUUGAUCAAAUAAUAUGUAAGAAACCCUAAUGGUGAUCAAACAUUAAGAUAAACAAACAAAUUAAACUAUAAAAUCAGUGAAUGAAACAAGAAAACAGAUUGAUGAAUCGAAUACUUUAACUUGAUAACAUAGAAUAGUUUACAAGGCUACAUCGAAUUCCCUACCUAUAAACUUAAUACACAUCAUGAUCACAGAAAAAUAUAAAUAAAAAGCGCAACAUGAGUGAAAUUAAAUUCACAGAAGAAACCCCUUGAAGCAAUUCUGAUGUGGAAAUCCUUCUAGAACAGCACGGCUGCGUGGUUUCUUCGAUCACAGCGGAUGGUGAAGGGAAAUAGGGUUUUGUUUCUGGAAUAAAGGCCAAAGAAAUAGAAGAGAGAGAGCUCUGGGCGUCCCCCAAGGGGGGCUUAUGUACAAGUGAUUUGAAACCAUAGUAUUUAUAUGCUAAAUAGGGUUGCAGCUGAUUGCAAGAUGAUCCCAACCAUUAAGCCAAGGUUUUGAACAUUUUUCCUUAUUUGGCUCUUCCAAAUCAGGCUAGAUAUUCCAAUUCCUUUCCCAUUCUGCUCUUGGUCUUCUAACCAGCUUGAUUCACUUUGGAUUCUUUAUUUGGGCUUCAAAACAAGCCACUAAACUUCUUUCCACAUUUGAAUAAGGGUCAACCCAAAAAAAAGGCAUGUUUUGACUUCAAAUUGAUCCUAAAAUGCAUGUAACUAGACACUAAUACAAAAUAGGAUGAAACGCAACCGGUUUUACUCUAAAACGUCACAAUUAGACUAGGAAUGGAUGGUAUAAAUGCAUGAAAUGUAUGAGUUAUCAAGUAUUUCAAGGGUAUAAAAUUUCUCAACUCUCUUUGUGAUUAGAGCUAAGUCUUUGUUCACCACCACUACUAGGCUUUGGAUUUUGUGGUUUAAGUUUUAUUUUAAAGUGCAUACAAGCAUGCUUUCACCAUUUAAUUGUUAAAUGAAUGUAUUAUGUUGCUUAAUGAACUUAAUUUCUCAAAUAUUUUUCUUCAUUGUUAAUAUCAGAUCCUUUUUAAGAUUCAUUAUAAUCAAUAGGAUGGAGCUCAUUUUCGGUGUUCAAAUACUUAGUAGAAGGUGUUAGAAUUUAAUUGGGUAUUUCAAAAUACAAUUCUUCAUUGGUCACUUUAAUAUUAUUCAAUCUGUUUUUAAAUUCCUAAUUUCAGUUUUGAUUUGUAAAACUGAAAAAUGAUGCAUUAUAACGUUGAGGUAUAAUGAAUGGUUUUGAGUUACAAUUAAUGGACUUUGA
This 3671-nucleotide long non-coding RNA is filed under the name Malus domestica (apple). Its description in RNAcentral is "long non-coding RNA (MDOM_LNC000180)". Lineage: Eukaryota; Viridiplantae; Streptophyta; Magnoliopsida; Rosales; Rosaceae. The record is from RNAcentral.